CAGACAGCCCAGAAGACUGAAGAUUUAUUUAUUCACAGAGCAGGCGCGGAAGCAUAGGCAACAGCAGUGUAAACUUCCCCCACAAUGGGCCUGGCCAGUGUGCCUCAACCCUGAGCAGCAGGGAAUGUUGCUAGGGCAUGAGUGGAGUGAAUGUCAGUGUCCAUGGUCUACUCAGUCCUUGGUUUCU
This 187-nucleotide small RNA is filed under the name Gopherus agassizii (Agassiz's desert tortoise). RNAcentral's name for it is "TUC338 (ENSGAGG00000016166.1)". Lineage: Eukaryota; Metazoa; Chordata; Testudines; Testudinidae. The record is from RNAcentral.